RNAcentral lists this ribosomal RNA (478 nucleotides) under uncultured bacterium. Its description in RNAcentral is "SSU rRNA". It matches the Rfam family "Bacterial small subunit ribosomal RNA", at positions 26 to 518 of the family's 1533-position model. The record is from RNAcentral.
AGGAUGAACGCUGGCGGUAUGCUUAACACAUGCAAGUCGAACGAAAGUAAUUUUUUUAAAGGUAACUUUAAAAAAGCUACUUUAGUGGCGGACGGGUGAAGAACACGUAAGAACCUACCUUUAGGAGGGGGACAACAACUGGAAACGGUUGCUAAUACCCCAUAUGCUGAGGAGUGAAAGAGUUUAUUCUCGCCUAGAGAUGGGCUUGCGUCUGAUUAGCUUGUUGGUGAGGUAAAAGCUCACCAAGGCAACGAUCAGUAGCUGGUCUGAGAGGAUGAUCAGCCACACUGGGACUGAGACACGGCCCAGACUCCUACGGGAGGCAGCAGUGAGGAAUUUUCCGCAAUGGGCGAAAGCCUGACGGAGCAAUACCGCGUGGAGGAUGACAGCCCGUGGGUCGUAAACUCCUUUCGAUCGGGAAGAUAAGUGACGGUACCGAUAUAAGAACGCCCCGGCUAACGUUCGUGCCAGCAGCCGC